UACAGAGGUCCCAAGCGUUGUUCGGAUUCACUGGGCGUAAAGAGCUCGUAGGCGGUUUGUCGCGUCUGCCGUGAAAGUCCGGGGCUCAACUCCGGAUCUGCGGUGGGUACGGGCAGACUAGAGUGAUGUAGGGGAGACUGGAAUUCCUGGUGUAGCGGUGAAAUGCGCAGAUAUCAGGAGGAACACCGAUGGCGAAGGCAGGUCUCUGGGCAGUAACUGACGCUGAGGAGCGAAAGUGUGGGGAGCGAACAGG
RNAcentral lists this ribosomal RNA (253 nucleotides) under uncultured bacterium. Its description in RNAcentral is "partial 16S ribosomal RNA". It matches the Rfam family "Bacterial small subunit ribosomal RNA", at positions 524 to 776 of the family's 1533-position model. The record is from RNAcentral.